UGAGGAAUCUUCCACAAUGGGCGAAAGCCUGAUGGAGCAAUGCCGCGUGCAGGAUGACGGCCUUCGGGUUGUAAACUGCUUUAUAUGGGAAGAUUAUGACGGUACCAUAUGAAUAAGGACCGGCUAACUACGUGCCAGCAGCCGCGGUAAUACGUAGGGUCCAAGCGUUAUCCGGAAUCACUGGGCGUAAAGCGUUUGUAGGCGGAAGUUUAAGUGAGAUGCGAAAUCUCGUGGCUCAACCACGUAGACUGUAUCUCAUACUGGGCUUCUAGAAUAUAGCAGAGGUAAGUGGAAUUAGUAGUGUAGCGGUAAAAUGCGUAGAUAUUACUAGGAACACCAAUGGCGAAGGCAGCUUACUGGGCUAUUAUUGACGCUGAGAAACGAAAGCGUGGGGAGCGAACAGGAUUAGAUACCCUGGUAGUCCACGCCGUAAACGAUGUGUGCUAUUAGUUCGAGGUAUCGACCCCUUGGGCUGAACAGCUAACGCG
Molecule: ribosomal RNA, 488 nt
Filed under: uncultured bacterium
Lineage: Bacteria
Description: bacterial SSU rRNA
Rfam family: Bacterial small subunit ribosomal RNA
Source: RNAcentral